RNAcentral lists this ribosomal RNA (719 nucleotides) under uncultured bacterium. Its description in RNAcentral is "bacterial SSU rRNA". It matches the Rfam family "Bacterial small subunit ribosomal RNA", at positions 81 to 810 of the family's 1533-position model. The record is from RNAcentral.
UUGUUGGGGGAUUAGUGGCGAACGGGUGAGUAACACGUGAGUAACCUGCCCUUAACUCUGGGAUAAGCCUGGGAAACUGGGUCUAAUACCGGAUAUGACUCCUCAUCGCAUGUGUGGGGGGUGGAAAGCUUUAUUGUGCUUUUUGGAUGGACUCGCGGCCUAUCAGCUUGUUGGUGAGGUAAUGGCUCACCAAGGCGACGACGGGUAGCCGGCCUGAGAGGGUGACCUGGCCACACUGGGACUGAGACACGGCCCAGACUCCUACGGGAGGCAGCAGUGGGGAAUAUUGCACAAUGGGCGAAAGCCUGAUGCAGCGACGCCGCGUGAGGGAUGACGGCCUUCGGGUUGUAAACCUCUUUCAGUAGGGAAGAAGCGAAAGUGACGGUACCUGCAGAAGAAGCGCCGGCUAACUACGUGCCAGCAGCCGCGGUAAUACGUAGGGCGCAAGCGUUAUCCGGAAUUAUUGGGCGUAAAGAGCUCGUAGGCGGUUUGUCGCGUCUGCCGUGAAAGUCCGGGGCUCAACUCCGGAUCUGCGGUGGGUACGGGCAGACUAGAGUGAUGUAGGGAGACUGGAAUUCCUGGUGUAGCGGUGAAAUGGGCAGAUAUCAGGAGGAACACCGAUGGCGAAGGCAGGUCUCUGGGCAUUAACUGACGCUGAGGAGCGAAAGCAUGGGGAGCGAACAGGAUUAGAUACCCUGGUAGUCCAUGCCGUAAACGUG